RNAcentral lists this ribosomal RNA (429 nucleotides) under Pseudomonadota bacterium. RNAcentral describes it as "Proteobacteria bacterium partial 16S ribosomal RNA". It matches the Rfam family "Bacterial small subunit ribosomal RNA", at positions 355 to 776 of the family's 1533-position model. Lineage: Bacteria; Pseudomonadati; Pseudomonadota. The record is from RNAcentral.
UGGGGAAUAUUGGACAAUGGGCGAAAGCCUGAUCCAGCCAUGCCGCGUGUGUGAAGAAGGUCUUCGGAUUGUAAAGCACUUUAAGUUGGGAGGAAGGGCAGUAAGCGAAUACCUUGCUGUUUUGACGUUACCGACAGAAUAAGCACCGGCUAACUCUGUGCCAGCAGCCGCGGUAAUACCGAGGGUGCAAGCGUUAAUCUGAAUUACUGGGCGUAAAGCGCGCGUAGGUGGUUCGUUAAGUUGAAUGUGAAAGCCCCGGGCUCAACCUGGGAACUGCAUCCAAAACUGGCGAGCUAGAGUAGGGCAGAGGGUGGUGGAAUUUCCUGUGUAGCGGUGAAAUGAGUAGAUAUAGGAAGGAAAAAAAGUGGCGAAGGCGACCACCUGGGCUCAUACUGACACUGAGGUGCGAAAGCGUGGGGAGCAAACAGG